UUUCUGUAGGUGAACCUGCGGAAGGAUCAUUAUUGUAUAACCGAGGUGCGAGGGCUGUCGCUGACCCGAAAGGUCGUGCACGCCCGAGUGCCCUCACACGCAUCCAUCUCACCCCUAUGUGCACCACCGCGUGGGUCCCCCUUUGGCUUGUUCGGAGGGGGGCUUACGUUUUCACACAAACUUUGUAUGCAGUGUAGAAUGUAUUUUUUGUUUUUGCGAUCACGCAAUCAAUACAACUUUCAACAACGGAUCUCUUGGCUCUC
This 263-nucleotide unclassified non-coding RNA is filed under the name plant metagenome. Its description in RNAcentral is "partial contains small subunit ribosomal RNA, internal transcribed spacer 1, and 5.8S ribosomal RNA". The record is from RNAcentral.